Molecule: ribosomal RNA, 416 nt
Filed under: uncultured bacterium
Lineage: Bacteria
Description: bacterial SSU rRNA
Rfam family: Bacterial small subunit ribosomal RNA
Source: RNAcentral
GACGAACGCUGGCGGCGCGCCUAACACAUGCAAGUCGAACGAGCGAGAGAGAGCUUGCUUUCUCAAGCGAGUGGCGAACGGGUGAGUAACGCGUGAGGAACCUGCCUCAAAGAGGGGGACAACAGUUGGAAACGACUGCUAAUACCGCAUAAGCCCACAGGUCGGCAUCGACCAGAGGGAAAAGGAGCAAUCCGCUUUGAGAUGGCCUCGCGUCCGAUUAGCUAGUUGGUGAGGUAAUGGCCCACCAAGGCGACGAUCGGUAGCCGGACUGAGAGGUUGAACGGCCACAUUGGGACUGAGACACGGCCCAGACUCCUACGGGAGGCAGCAGUGGGGAAUAUUGCACAAUGGGGGAAACCCUGAUGCAGCGACGCCGCGUGGAGGAAGAAGGUCUUCGGAUUGUAAACUCCUGUUGU